GCGAUCUUAGUAUAAUGGCUAUUAUUUCUGGUUUCCACCCAGAAGAUACGGGUUCGAUACCCGUAGAUCGCUCCA
Molecule: transfer RNA, 75 nt
Filed under: Shigella phage vB_SflM_004
Lineage: Duplodnaviria; Heunggongvirae; Uroviricota; Caudoviricetes; Andersonviridae
Description: tRNA-Gly
Rfam family: tRNA
About the family: Transfer RNA (tRNA) molecules are approximately 80 nucleotides in length.
Source: RNAcentral